CCUACGGGAGGCAGCAGUGGGGAAUUUUGGACAAUGGGCGCAAGCCUGAUCCAGCAAUGCCGCGUGCAGGAUGAAGGCCUUCGGGUUGUAAACUGCUUUUGUACGGAACGAAACGGUCUGCUCUAAUACAGUGGGCUAAUGACGGUACCGUAAGAAUAAGCACCGGCUAACUACGUGCCAGCAGCCGCGGUAAUACGUAGGGUGCGAGCGUUAAUCGGAAUUACUGGGCGUAAAGCGUGCGCAGGCGGUUAUAUAAGACAGAUGUGAAAUCCCCGGGCUCAACCUGGGACCUGCAUUUGUGACUGUAUAGCUAGAGUGCGGCAGAGGGGGAUGGAAUUCCGCGUGUAGCAGUGAAAUGCGUAGAUAUGCGGAGGAACACCGAUGGCGAAGGCAAUCCCCUGGGCCUGCACUGACGCUCAUGCACGAAACGACGGUGGGGAGGACGAAACAAGGAGUAGUAUACCUACGGUAGUACCGACCGACCCGUAACCG
This 492-nucleotide ribosomal RNA is filed under the name uncultured bacterium. RNAcentral's name for it is "bacterial SSU rRNA". It matches the Rfam family "Bacterial small subunit ribosomal RNA", at positions 338 to 808 of the family's 1533-position model. The record is from RNAcentral.